ACCUGGUGGGCUGGGGCCUGGCACACAGUAGGUACCCAAUCAAUGCAGGGUCUGUUUAGAGGGGAGGGGCGCCAAGACGCUCAGGGCGCAGCUCUGUGGGCAUCCUGCUCGGGCAGGGUUUCUCCCGGAUCAGGCUUGGAGACGUGGGUCUGUGCGAGCCUCAGAACCCAGACAGACAGACGCUGUUGCAUGGAGCAGGAUGGUGCCUGCACACAGCCAGGCUGGGAUCCAGCCCUGCGCCCAGGAGCCUGCCCCGUGCACAGUGACGGUGGAGCAGGCCAGGAAUCACCUGGAACCAACUGCUUAGACGCACAGCAGCGUGGAAGAUGGCUCUGGCAGCCAGUGAUUACUGAUGUCUGUCCGGGCGGGUGAAGGGGCCGGAAGUGCUCGUGUGCCACCCCGCCCUACACCAGGCUGGUGUGGCUAGGACAGCUUGUGGAGGCCCCUUGAC
RNAcentral lists this long non-coding RNA (451 nucleotides) under Ursus maritimus (polar bear). RNAcentral describes it as "lncRNA (ENSUMAG00000007384.1)". Lineage: Eukaryota; Metazoa; Chordata; Mammalia; Carnivora; Ursidae. The record is from RNAcentral.